RNAcentral lists this transfer RNA (77 nucleotides) under Actinomycetota bacterium. Its description in RNAcentral is "tRNA-Met". It matches the Rfam family "tRNA". Rfam says of the family: Transfer RNA (tRNA) molecules are approximately 80 nucleotides in length. The record is from RNAcentral. Lineage: Bacteria; Bacillati; Actinomycetota.
AGCGGCGUAGCUCAGUCGGUUAGAGCACACGGCUCAUAAUCGUGGUGUCGUGGGUUCGAUUCCCACCGCCGCUACCA